CCGGUUCCGGUUCGGGUUCGGGUUCGGGUUAACAAAGCCAAUAGAUUUGUGUUAGACCGAAAGCAUCAAAUGAGUUCUUGUGCUAAUAUAAUUAUUAGUUCCAAAUUUGAUAGAUUCUGUGAUAAUAUUAAAAAAAUAUUAUUAUUUUUCUUGAAAAUAAUGAUACUUUUUUGUCCCAAAAUUAGAUUAACAUACUGACAAACAAUAAAGGUCAUUAAACAUAAGGCAAAUUAUUUAUUCAAAGCUAAGUUAGGCUAAAACAAUGCGUCUUUUGUUGUGGGAACUUUUUGACUUGAUACAUGCAAGUACAAGUAAAGAUCGUCUUAGAAACAAAGUGAAGACUGCAUCUCACCGUAAACAAUGAUAGAUCUCAGUUAAGGUUCCACCAACUUUUGACUUGCUUUUGGAGAACCCUUCUCCGUUGUUAGGUUGACACUUGCAGACGGAUUAGGAACCGCAAGAACGAUCUGAAACAGCACACGAGAGGGAACACGUUGAUUGCUUGCUUGCUUGUAUCAGUCUACCGAGUUGGUGUACCAAACAAUGCCACAGACCAGGAAGCAGUAUCAGCAGGGAAGCUUGCAGGAAGGCCCGUGUUUACCGGGUUGAGAGGAAGAAUCUUUGAACACACACCCUUGUGAAGCCAAUCACAGCCAAAGAUUCCCAAGCUGUAAAGAAGCUGCAAGUUUCUUCUUCCUUCGCCUUGUGACUUCAAGGUUAGUGCACGGUUUCUGCUGAACCAUCAACCUCUCGUCCAUCUUGAUCGCUCGAUCGGAUGUCAUCGACGUCUGUGAUUGCCUCGAGUUUGCUUGUUAGCCUACUGGCCUCUCCCUUCUGCUAUAAAUUACGAGGCUGCUUCUCCUCUCUGCAAGCAAGUAGUUCUUCUGACACAGUUCAUAGGAGAUGGGAAGAGGUAGGAAGUCGUUUCUUGCCUUCUUCGGCUUCAAGAAGACGCGCUACCAGGGAGAGGAGGCAGCUGAAGCAGAGCAGCCGAGGCCGAGGAAGAAUCGACCAAGCGACGAUGAGGAGCAUGCAGAGUCUGACAUAGACAGGAAGUCCAAAGAAUACAUUGACAGAGUUCGCAAGGAAUUGCGCCUGAUGUAUUCUUCAUCUGGUGAAUAAACCUUGCUACUGUACUUUUCCUGUUCUCAUCAGAGUUUGUAGCCAUGUGUGUUUGCUCGUAUUCUCAUUACGUUGAAGAAGAAAACAUGUUUGUACUUCCAUUAUGUCUUGCUGAAACAAAUAUGCUCUUGUAAUUGUAAAUUAGUUGUUGCCUUUCUGAGUGAUCCAUAUGCGUAAAUGGACACUAAAUGGAAACAUGAUCAAGCAAUUGUUAGUGGUGUUGAAUGGAUUGGAC
This 1357-nucleotide long non-coding RNA is filed under the name Musa acuminata (dwarf banana). RNAcentral describes it as "long non-coding RNA (MACU_LNC000413)". Lineage: Eukaryota; Viridiplantae; Streptophyta; Magnoliopsida; Zingiberales; Musaceae. The record is from RNAcentral.